AACGAACGCUGGCGGCAUGCCUAACACAUGCAAGUCGAACGAUUGCCUUCGGGUGAUAGUGGCGCACGGGUGCGUAACGCGUGGGAAUCUGCCCUUAGGUUCGGAAUAACAGCUGGAAACGGCUGCUAAUACCGGAUGAUAUCGCGAGAUCAAAGAUUUAUCGCCUGAGGAUGAGCCCGCGUUGGAUUAGGUAGUUGGUGGGGUAGAGGCCUACCAAGCCGACGAUCCAUAGCUGGUCUGAGAGGAUGAUCAGCCACACUGGGACUGAGACACGGCCCAGACUCCUACGGGAGGCAGCAGUGGGGAAUAUUGGACAAUGGGCGCAAGCCUGAUCCAGCAAUGCCGCGUGAGUGAUGAAGGCCCUAGGGUUGUAAAGCUCUUUUACCCGGGAAGAUAAUGACUUUACCGGGAGAAUAAGCCCCGGCUAACUCCGUG
Molecule: ribosomal RNA, 435 nt
Filed under: uncultured bacterium
Lineage: Bacteria
Description: partial 16S ribosomal RNA
Rfam family: Bacterial small subunit ribosomal RNA
Source: RNAcentral